This 432-nucleotide ribosomal RNA is filed under the name uncultured bacterium. Its description in RNAcentral is "partial 16S ribosomal RNA". It matches the Rfam family "Bacterial small subunit ribosomal RNA", at positions 29 to 507 of the family's 1533-position model. The record is from RNAcentral.
GCGAACGCUGGCGGCAGGCUUAACACAUGCCAGUCGAGCGGACCUUUCGGGGUCAGCGGCGGACGGGUGAGUAACGCGUGGGAACGUGCCUUCCGGUUCGGAAUAACCCUGGGAAACUAGGGCUAAUACCGGAUACGCCCUUAUGGGGAAAGGUUUACUGCCGGAAGAUCGGCCCGCGUCUGAUUAGCUAGUUGGUGGGGUGACGGCCUACCAAGGCGACGAUCAGUAGCUGGUCUGAGAGGAUGAUCAGCCACACUGGGACUGAGACACGGCCCAGACUCCUACGGGAGGCAGCAGUGGGGAAUAUUGGACAAUGGGCGCAAGCCUGAUCCAGCCAUGCCGCGUGAGUGAUGAAGGCCUUAGGGUUGUAAAGCUCUUUUAUCCGGGACGAUAAUGACGGUACCGGAGGAAUAAGCCCCGGCUAACUUCGUG